Molecule: ribosomal RNA, 465 nt
Filed under: uncultured bacterium
Lineage: Bacteria
Description: partial 16S ribosomal RNA
Rfam family: Bacterial small subunit ribosomal RNA
Source: RNAcentral
CCUACGGGUGGCAGCAGUGGGGAAUAUUGCGCAAUGGGCGAAAGCCUGACGCAGCGACGCCGCGUGAGGGAUGAAGGUCUUCGGAUCGUAAACCUCUGUCAGCAGGGAAGAACGGUCACUGUGCUAAUCAGCAGUGAAUUGACGGUACCUGCAAAGGAAGCACCGGCUAACUCCGUGCCAGCAGCCGCGGUAAUACGGAGGGUGCGAGCGUUAAUCGGAAUUACUGGGCGUAAGGCCGUCGUAGGCGGUAUGGCAAGUCAAGGGGGAAAUCCCCGCGCGCAACGUGGGAACUGCCUUUGAAACUGGCAAACUGGAGUGUGUGAGAGGAGAGUGGAAUUCCAGGUGUAGGAGUGAAAUCCGUAGAUAUCUGGAGGAACAUCAGUGGCGAAGGCGACUAUCUGGCACAUAACUGACGCUGAGGAGCGAAAGCGUGGGUAGCAAACAGGAUUAGAUACCCGGGUAGUC